This 472-nucleotide ribosomal RNA is filed under the name uncultured bacterium. RNAcentral describes it as "partial 16S ribosomal RNA". It matches the Rfam family "Bacterial small subunit ribosomal RNA", at positions 28 to 507 of the family's 1533-position model. The record is from RNAcentral.
GACGAACGCUGGCGGCGUGCUUAACACAUGCAAGUCGAACGCUGAAGCUUGGUGCUUGCACUGGGUGGAUGAGUGGCGAACGGGUAAGUAAUACGUGAGUAACCUGCCCUUGACUCUGGGAUAAGCCUGGGAAACUGGGUCUAAUACUGGAUAUGACAUGCCACUGCAUGGUGGUGUGUGGAAAGGGUUUUACUGGUUUUGGAUGGGCUCACGGCCUAUCAGCUUGUUGGUGGGGUAAUGGCCUACCAAGGCGAUGACGGGUAGCCGGCCUGAGAGGGUGACCGGCCACACUGGGACUGAGACACGGCCCAGACUCCUACGGGAGGCAGCAGUGGGGAAUAUUGCACAAUGGGCGGAAGCCUGAUGCAGCGACGCCGCGUGAGGGAUGACGGCCUUCGGGUUGUAAACCUCUUUCAGCACGGAAGAAGCGAGAGUGACGGUACGUGCAGAAGAAGCGCCGGCUAACUACGUG